GUAGGUGGCAAGCGUUGUCCGGAAUUAUUGGGGCGUAAAGCGCGCGCAGGCGGUUCUUUAAGUCUGAUGUGAAAGCCCACGGGCUCAACCGUGGAGGGUCAUUGGAAACUGGAGAACUUGAGUACAGAAGAGGAAAGCGGAAUUCCACGUGUAGCGGUGAAAUGCGUAGAGAUGUGGAGGAACACCAGUGGCGAAGGCGGCUUUCUGGUCUGUAACUGACGCUGAGGCGCGAAAGCGUGGGGAGCAAACAGGAUUAGAUACCCUGGUAGUCCACGCCGUAAACGAUGAGUGCUAAGUGUCAGGGGGUUUCCGCCCCUUAGUGCUGCAGCUAACGCAUUAAGCACUCCGCCUGGGGAGUACGGCCGCGAGGCUGA
RNAcentral lists this ribosomal RNA (374 nucleotides) under uncultured organism. Its description in RNAcentral is "partial 16S ribosomal RNA". It matches the Rfam family "Bacterial small subunit ribosomal RNA", at positions 527 to 897 of the family's 1533-position model. The record is from RNAcentral.